This 778-nucleotide ribosomal RNA is filed under the name Salmonella enterica. Its description in RNAcentral is "partial 23S ribosomal RNA". It matches the Rfam family "Bacterial large subunit ribosomal RNA", at positions 774 to 1553 of the family's 2925-position model. The record is from RNAcentral. Lineage: Bacteria; Pseudomonadati; Pseudomonadota; Gammaproteobacteria; Enterobacterales; Enterobacteriaceae.
CCGAACCGACUAAUGUUGAAAAAUUAGCGGAUGACCUGUGGCUGGGGGUGAAAGGCCAAUCAAACCGGGAGAUAGCUGGUUCUCCCCGAAAGCUAUUUAGGUAGCGCCUCGUGAAUUCAUCUCCGGGGGUAGAGCACUGUUUCGGCUAGGGGGCCAUCCCGGCUUACCAACCCGAUGCAAACUGCGAAUACCGGAGAAUGUUAUCACGGGAGACACACGGCGGGUGCUAACGUCCGUCGUGAAGAGGGAAACAACCCAGACCGCCAGCUAAGGUCCCAAAGUCAUGGUUAAGUGGGAAACGAUGUGGGAAGGCCCAGACAGCCAGGAUGUUGGCUUAGAAGCAGCCAUCAUUUAAAGAAAGCGUAAUAGCUCACUGGUCGAGUCGGCCUGCGCGGAAGAUGUAACGGGGCUAAACCAUGCACCGAAGCUGCGGCAGCGACACUGUGUGUUGUUGGGUAGGGGAGCGUUCUGUAAGCCUGUGAAGGUGUGUCGUGAGGCAUGCUGGAGGUAUCAGAAGUGCGAAUGCUGACAUAAGUAACGAUAAAGCGGGUGAAAAGCCCGCUCGCCGGAAGACCAAGGGUUCCUGUCCAACGUUAAUCGGGGCAGGGUGAGUCGACCCCUAAGGCGAGGCCGAAAGGCGUAGUCGAUGGGAAACGGGUUAAUAUUCCCGUACUUGGUGUUACUGCGAAGGGGGGACGGAGAAGGCUAUGUUGGCCGGGCGACGGUUGUCCCGGUUUAAGCGUGUAGGCUGGUUUUCCAGGCAAAUCCGGAAAAUCAA